GACAACUUGGCGGAGUGGUUAACGUGCUGCCCUGCUAAGGCAGUGUCCUUUGGACGCGCAAGUUCGAAUCUUGCAGUUGUCG
Molecule: transfer RNA, 82 nt
Filed under: Auricularia subglabra TFB-10046 SS5
Lineage: Eukaryota; Fungi; Basidiomycota; Agaricomycetes; Auriculariales; Auriculariaceae
Rfam family: tRNA
About the family: Transfer RNA (tRNA) molecules are approximately 80 nucleotides in length. Their secondary structure includes four short double-helical elements and three loops (D, anti-codon, and T loops). Further hydrogen bonds mediate the characteristic L-shaped molecular structure. tRNAs have two regions of fundamental functional importance: the anti-codon, which is responsible for specific mRNA codon recognition, and the 3' end, to which the tRNAs corresponding amino acid is attached (by aminoacyl-tRNA synthetases). tRNAs cope with the degeneracy of the genetic code in two manners: having more than one tRNA (with a specific anti-codon) for a particular amino acid; and 'wobble' base-pairing, i.e. permitting non-standard base-pairing at the 3rd anti-codon position.
Source: Rfam by way of RNAcentral